Molecule: long non-coding RNA, 687 nt
Filed under: Homo sapiens (human)
Lineage: Eukaryota; Metazoa; Chordata; Mammalia; Primates; Hominidae
Description: long non-coding RNA NONHSAT179698.1
Source: RNAcentral
GCACAGCAGAUGCGCUUCCAGGUGCAUACCCACCUUCAAGUGAUUGAGGAGAGGGUGAAUCAGAGCCUGGGCCUGCUUGACCAGAACCCCCACCUGGCUCAGGAGCUGCGGCCCCAAAUCCGAACUCCUCCACUCUGAACACCUGGGUCCCAGUGAAUUGGAAGCCCCUGCCCCUGGGGGCAGCAGCGAGGACAAGGGUGGGCUGCAGCCUCCAGAUUCCAAGGAUGACACCCCCAUGACCCUUCCAAAAGGUGAGUGUCUCACAGUUAACCCCAGCCUCCAAAUCCCACUGAAUCCCUGAACCCAGAAGGAAACAGGGUCCAUCCAUUGGGAACCUCAGACCCCCUGGGGUAGAGUUUGAUGUACUUUCCAGCCCCCUCCUCUGGACCCUAAAGAAUGAGAUAGGGCCAGGCGCUGGUGACUCACACCCGUAAUCCUAGCACUUUCAGAGGCUGAGGCAGGAGGAUCCCUUGAGGCCACGAGUUCUAGACCAGCCUGGGCAACAUAAUGAGACCCUGUACCUACAAAUAAUUUAAAAAUUACCUGGGUGUGGUGGGGCAUGUCUGUAGUCCCAGCUGCUCAGGAGGCUGACGUAGAAGGAUCACUGGAGCCCAGGAAGUUGAGGCUGCAGUGAGCUGAGAUCAUGCCACUGCACUCCAGCCUGGGUGACAGAGUGAGACUCUGUCU